AAUUAAUAGAUCAUCGAUUUUGAUUUUGGAUCUGGAAUAUUUUGGUGUAGACCUCUUUCCUCUUAAAUCUGAAGCUUGUACUUCUUCAAUUAAUAUCAGCCCUCUAUUUGAAAGAACUUGAGGUUGCCAAGUAACUUUGAUGAAUAUUCCACUAGGGGUGGAUUAGAGUUGUUUAUGAUCUAAUCUUGUGAUAGAUCGAUUAAUCAAGAGUAGUUGAUAUUUUGACAAAGAAACUUGAUGUUCUUAUUCAAAAUUAAGACGUUGAUUUUUAUUUAUGAGAGAGAGAAGUUUGAUUUACAUCAUCUAUAAAAAGAACCAAAUCUGGAGGUAUUGGACCUUAUUCUUAUGAUAAGAUGAAAUUAUAUUGAUAAGUAGAACUAUUGGAAGACUGAGGUUAAUCUUCUAGUAGAGAAGAAUGUUGUUGGUUCUAUGAAUAAUCUGAAGGUAGCUAUGUAAUUUUCAUCAGUGGGGUUUUCUAUUGUUGACAAUUCUUGGGAGAAUCUUGGGCAUCUUAAAUUUAGUAUUAACGGAUUGAUGGUUACUUGGUUGGACUUAGAUCUGGAAAGUUUUAACAUGGAUCUCCUAUUCCUUAUUCUAACAUUGUUAAUCUGGCUAUUUGAAAGGGCUUGAGGUUUUUCUAAGACAAAGGUUGAUCAUUAUAUCAUGGAAAAAAAAGAGGAGCAUUUGAUACUAAAGCUUUCUCCUACUUACAUUUAACCGAUUAAAUUUCUUUGUAGAAUUAAUCAGGAGCAAUUAAUUUCUUCAAAAAAAAAAGAAUUAUGACAUUUUAAUCCAAGGCUGGAAGGUUAGUCUUAUUUUGAAAGAGAUCAAAAGAACUUGC
RNAcentral lists this long non-coding RNA (841 nucleotides) under Phoenix dactylifera (date palm). RNAcentral's name for it is "long non-coding RNA (PDAC_LNC009781)". The record is from RNAcentral. Lineage: Eukaryota; Viridiplantae; Streptophyta; Magnoliopsida; Arecales; Arecaceae.